Molecule: small RNA, 3212 nt
Filed under: Pan troglodytes (chimpanzee)
Lineage: Eukaryota; Metazoa; Chordata; Mammalia; Primates; Hominidae
Description: retained intron
Source: RNAcentral
UGAAAGAGAACAUUAAUUAAUCUGUCACAGUAUCAUUCUGCUACAUAGAGGUGCCUCUUGAAGCCACUGAGUAGAGUAGCCUGCAUGUCCCAGUAUGCUAAGAGAGAAUCAGGACAGCCGGAGGGAUAAGUGCUUCUGACCUUCUGGUUUCUGUGGAGUUUCCAGUGUCUCCCAAGGGCAGUGUGACAGCGCUGGUUAGAUAUAUGCUGAUCAUCCCCUUGGAGCUGGCAGUACAAGGUGUAGGAGUUUCUCCUGGGAAGAGCAUUCUCCAAGUUCUCAACCUCAUAUCUGCGAACAUGUUGACCAAACUGUUGCUCAUACCACAUUAUUCAUCCCAUACGUGCAGUUGUACAUUUUCUUCAGUAUGAUUUUUAUGCCUUUAUUGAGGGAGCUUAUAAAGUUGAAUUAGGCAUACAUUUUUAAAGUUCAGUAUAAUUUGUUUAAGCCACUGACACUUUCAUUUUGCCAAUGUCAUUGGUAUAAAUGAACUUGUAUUUAUUUAAUCAGCCGUUACAUGUUUUCAUGAUACUCUUAGUGUUUUUUGUUUUAUAUCUACAGUGUGUGGGGCCAUGAGAUGCAUGAAUAUUGUUUUAUUAUAUAUAUUUUUUUCUGCUUCAUAUACUUUCAUGAUGUUUUAUAUGUUUUACCAGAAGAUUUCUUCCUUGAGUGUUUAUGUCUGAGUAUUAGUUUCCUCAAAACAUAUAUAACCUCCAAAACUUUGUUAAAGGAUAGUAUUAGUUAUUCCUUUUACUUCUGUUUCCUGUAACUUUAUAUCAACUCUUAGCUUAUACUUUUUAAAAAUAGACUUUCUAUUUUUUAGCAAUUUUAUGUUCACAGCAAACUUGAUGGAAGGUACUAGAUUUCCUGUAUACUCUGUGCCCCCACACGUGCACAGCGUCUUCCCCCAUUAUCACCAUCCCCCAUCACAGUGGUACAUUUGUUACAAUUGAUAAACCUACAUUGACACAUCAUUAUCACCCAAAGUCCAUAGUCGAUGUUGGGGUUCACUCUAUGUAUAUGCUUUGGGCAAAUAUAUAAUAGACAUAUAUCCUCCAUAAUAGUAUCUUACAGAAUAAUUACACUGCCCUAAAAAAUCUGUGCUCUGUCUGUUCAUCUCUCCCUCCCCCCAGCACCUGGCAACCACUGAUCUCUUUACUGUCUCCAUAGAUUUGCCUUUUUCAGAAUGUCAUAGAGUUGGAACCAUAUAGUAUAUGGCCUUUUCGCAUUGGCUUCUUUCACUUAAUAAUAUGCAUUUAAAUUUCUAGGGCCGGGCGCGGUGGCUCCCGCCUGUAAUCCCAGCACUUUGGGAGGCCGAGGCGGGCGGAUCACGAGGUCAGGAGAUCAAGACGAUCCUGGCUAACACGGUGAAACCCCGUCUCUACUAAAAAUACAAAAAAUAAGCCAGGCGUGGUGGCGGGCGCCUGUAGUUCCAGCUACUCAGGAGGCUGAGGCAGGAGAAUGGCGUGAACCUGGGAGGCAGAGGUUGUGAUGAGCCGAGACCACGCCACUGCACUCCAGCCUGGGCAACAGAGCGAGACUCCAUCUCAAAAAAUAGAUAAAUAAAAUAAAUUUCUUCCAUGUCUUUUUAUAGCUUGACAGCUCAUUUCUUUUUAGCACAGAAUAACAUCCCUUCAUUGCACACACUGUGUAAAGAAUGACUCCUGCUUAUACACAGGACAGCUUACUCAGGACAGCAGCAUGAUCUGGUCACUGUCUAAACAACUUGUGCAAGAUAAGGUGACUUAAAUGUUAUCUGAGAGCAGUGGUGCUGUCACACUAUAGGUGACACAGCUCAGGUCCCAUAUCUGCCUUGAAACAUUUCUUCCUACACUCCUUGUAUUUGCUGUGACUUAUAAUCCGUGCUGCCCUGGGUGGCCAGUGGUGCUUAAUGCUGUGAACAUGGCAUCUUAGCCCGCACACACAGGUUCAGAUUCUGGCUUUCAGAUGUGCUUUCUCUGUGAGUUAGGGAUAGAUAUGUAAACCUCUUCAGCCCUUUGUUUUGGUAUGAAAAGGUGCGAUAAUUUACCUCAAGAGGAUUUACAUCAAUUAGUGCUGUUAGAGACCUUAGUAACUUGCAUAGCAUUUAGUAUGCUUUGAAAAGUUACCUUUAUGAAUAAGAUAUGUCAAGUGUCUGUCAUGUUUCUUAUGAGAUUGACCUUUGCCUGCAUUAUAUCUUACAUAUUUUCUUUUUUGUAAUUUUUUUUUUCAUAUCAACAUUUUCUCUGACUCUACAUAAUAAAAUGUUAAAGCACACAGCUUUCAUUAUAUGUAUUUUUUGGCCAUAGAACUGGAAAACUAGAUGACAUUUCCUAGUCAGGGAGUUUCUCUAUAUACUGCUGUCAUAUAACUGCAGGCAUGAAAUUAUUUCAAACUCCCCUCCUAAUUCUUCAUCUUUAUAGUAAUGUGCAUUUACCUGAAGCUGAUAUUUCAAAAUUUAGUGAUUCUCAACAUAUUAUUUUUCCUAUUGUGUGUCCCUUCUGUUUUUUCUGUUGUUCAUAAGCAGUAAUUCUUUAGAAUUUCACUGACAAUUUUGUAAUUGUGGUUGUUCAUUAACUUGCCUGUUAGAUUUUCACAGGUUACUAAAGUGUUUUAUUUAUUUUUAUAAUGAUUUACAGAUGAUGGUUUUUCAGUAUAUAUUAUGCGAUAGAACCACCAUGCACAAAUUGUUAAUGCUGCAAAAUGCACAUUCUACAUGGGUGUAAGUAGUUUUAUAACAAGUACUCACAUUUGCAAUUUGUAAAUAUUCAAAAUUUUAUUAAAUUCUUCCGAAUUUUUUCUUUCAGUGUUUUGUUUGCAAUUAUGAAUUGUCUUUUUUAAAUAUUUUUUAUUAGAUAAGCUUGAGCUGUGCCUUACCUUUUGUGUGUAAUAAUUAUGUACUAAAUAAUGCAUUACUAUUUGUUUAUCUUCAAAUAUGAGACUACCAUAUAGCUAUGCCAACUUACAUGUUCCUUGGAGUGGUGGUGGAAAAAUACCUCUUCUUUCAGAGUUUAUGUGGAUUUACAUAGUAUGAGUGUUUUAGCUAUAGGGUGUUUUAAACUGUGCUUAAAAUAAUUUGUUACAUGUUUUGUUACCAUGUUACUUUAUUGAGGACAGCUAGUCCCUUUGUGUUGUUAAACGUUUAAAGACAGUUGAGAAGCUUCAUAACUCUGUUCAUUGUAAAUCUUAGCUUUCUUGUAAUAUGUAUUUUAAUAAAAUAUUUACCUUGCAACUCC